CUGUCUCUUGCUUCAACAGUGUUUGGACGGAAGAG
Non-coding RNA from Myotis brandtii (Brandt's bat), 35 nucleotides. The record is from Rfam. NCBI's taxonomy places the organism in Eukaryota, Metazoa, Chordata, Mammalia, Chiroptera, Vespertilionidae.